GAUGAACGCUGGCGGCGUGCCUAAUACAUGCAAGUCGAGCGAACAGACGAGGAGCUUGCUCCUCUGACGUUAGCGGCGGACGGGUGAGUAACACGUGGAUAACCUACCUAUAGGACUGGGAUAACUUCGGGAAACCGGAGCUAAUACCGGAUAACAUGUUGAACCGCAUGGUUCAACAGUGAAAGACGGUCUUGCUGUCACUUAUAGAUGGAUCCGCGCCGCAUUAGCUAGUUGGUAAGGUAACGGCUUACCAAGGCAACGAUGCGUAGCCGACCUGAGAGGGUGAUCGGCCACACUGGAACUGAGACACGGUCCAGACUCCUACGGGAGGCAGCAGUAGGGAAUCUUCCGCAAUGGGCGAAAUCCUGACGGAGCAACGCCGCGUGAGUGAAGAAGGUCUUCGGAUCGUAAAACUCUGUUAUUAGGGAAGAACAAAUGUGUAAGUAACUAUGCACGUCUUGACGGUACCUAAUCAGAAAGCCACGGCUAACUACGUG
This 497-nucleotide ribosomal RNA is filed under the name uncultured bacterium. RNAcentral describes it as "partial 16S ribosomal RNA". It matches the Rfam family "Bacterial small subunit ribosomal RNA", at positions 28 to 507 of the family's 1533-position model. The record is from RNAcentral.